Molecule: non-coding RNA, 45 nt
Filed under: Trichobilharzia regenti
Lineage: Eukaryota; Metazoa; Platyhelminthes; Trematoda; Strigeidida; Schistosomatidae
Source: RNAcentral
AUCCAGAAGAUGAGUCCCAAAUAGGACGAAAUACGCAUCUUGGAU